CUUUGAUCAUUUGUGUUAAAACGAUACAAGGAUGAAGCAUAAAAAGAUAAGUAUUAAUUUUUAUGAAUAUGUAAUUUUAUUAUUUAAAAAAUUAACAGAUGUUGAUAUAAAAAUAAUAAAUAUUUAUUAAUCAUUAGUGAAUAAUAAAAAAAAUCGGGUCUUCCUGGGUCUCCAUCUUCUCCUCAAUAAGUACAAAUAUUGUAUUUUACCGAUUAUUUUUUUACGUAGCGUACUUCAAAAUAGUUCGCUUGAUGGUAACAUAGUAACAGUUUUACAAACAGUAGGUCCAUUAAAUAUGUUAUCUUUUAUUAAAUAGCUCUUAUGUAAUAUUUAAUGAUUUUAGCAAAUCUAAAAAAAAACAAAUGUAGCUUAAAAAGUCUUUGCUUGUUUCAGUUAGUAGUUAGUUAGUUAGGUUCAGUGUAUAACCAUCUCAAGACCUUUAUUGGUUGUUGUAUUUUUAUUUGUAUUCAUAGGGUUGGCUGUCAGUAUAUUUACAAUAAAUCAUCGUCUAUGGUUGAAAUAAGUGAAGUUCGAUUUCAAAUAUUGUCAUAAUCGACUAAAUGCUUGUUUUGAUAAAAUCAAGUUAGUGCUAUAUUUUGAAAGAUAUGCACGGAAAAUUUUGAAAUUUUGGCAGUAAAAGCGGAGAGAUCAUGUAUUACCUGAUAACGAAGACAUUUUUAGAUUAAAUGUGAAUACUUCAGUGAUUUAAUGAUAUGUUUUCGUAGGGUGUAUUUUUAUGAUUUCGUUUUAAAAGCAGUAUUUUUGUAACGCAAUUACAUUGCAGAUUAAAUUAAAAGUAGUUAAAAUUAUCUUAUUUAAUCAUAGUUGCAGCGAAGACUUGAAGUAAGAUUUUUUUUAUGGUAACUUUUCGUUACAGAUAUUAUUGAUCGUUGGGCCUACGCCUGGCUUUUGGUGACGUUAAGUUAUUUUCGUACAAUUUUUUUGAAGAUUAAGAAUAAUAUCAGUGUUAAAGUUACCAGUUGCCGUUUUAUCCACAAUUGCAUUGUAUUAUAAAACAGAACCGGAUUCCGGACAUCCCUGAACAGGAGCUGGUGAUGUUUGAGGGUCUAUGAAGCAGAGUCCACCUGAGUACGACGUGCACGCAGUGGUCGAAAAUCGGGUAUUGUUAGAUUUUCUCACUAACAUAACCCUUUAACUAAUGCGUCCAUACAUCAGGCGGUACAGAGGACUUAUACUACAAAGAUUUCUGAAGUUUAGUAUCAAAGUGGUUAUUGUCAUAUUAAUUUUAUAUCUUAUUACCUUUUUCCUGGGGAAAUAUGUAAACAUAAGAGUGAAUAAGAACGUUGGUCGCUAUGUUGUUGUAAACUAAAACUCCUAUUUAAAUAAACUUAUCAAGCGUUCAGUCUUUCCAACAUAAAUAUGGGAGUCUUUAGUUUUGUGCAAAAAUUUACACAGCACGUUAGGAAUAACCUACUAUACUUGAUCAGACCAAGAAAUAAAAUUUACCGGAAGAUACUAAUUUUAUUCUUGAUUAUGAUAUGUAAUGGCAUUUUGUCCAUAAUGGAUUUAUUGAAUACAUAUCUGUUCAAAAUAUAAUAAAAUGGCUAUAGCAAUUUUAACAAAUAUUUUGUUUUCUAAUUGUUCUUGUUUGAAGUACUUUCUAUUGCUGAAGCUAUUAAAAAUUGAUGUCAACUGCACUAAAUGUUGUUAUUGAUGAUAUUAUUUGUUAAUGUAAUUAUGUUAUGUAUAAGCUAUUAAUUAUGUAAAGUUUACGUUUACCUUAUAUUUUAAGUUUUAAAUUGUGUUAUUUCUUUUAUAGUAUAUACACUUAGGAAGUAAGAAACGAAGCCAUUAGCGAAUUUUUCAUUUGCACUGAAAAAAACGCUAAUGUCUUUGUUAUUUGUAAUUGUAUAAAUUAAUUAUUAUUAAUUUUUAAUUGUUUAAGUUUCAAGUAUCAAUUGUAUGUACUUUUUUUUUGAAAUAUAAAAUGUCACAAAAUUGUAAUUUCAGUCGAUAUUAUCUUGAUAAUAGUUCAAUAAACUGGUAAUUGUCUUUUGGCUUCAUUACCGAUUGAAUUAAAUGUCUUAUAAUAGAAACAUAAUGUGUUGUAGUAGAACGUAUAAAAAUGUGUUGUCGUAGUAAGUAGAAAAAAGUGUAAAACUCGUCAAAUAAAUUAAUAUAUAUCA
Long non-coding RNA from Spodoptera frugiperda (fall armyworm), 2147 nucleotides. RefSeq lists it as uncharacterized. The record is from RefSeq and is a predicted model, not a curated record. The transcript has 2 exons. Lineage: Eukaryota; Metazoa; Arthropoda; Insecta; Lepidoptera; Noctuidae.